GGAGGGUGCGAGCGUUAAUCGGAAUUACUGGGCGUAAAGCGCACGCAGGCGGUUUGUUAAGCUAGAUGUGAAAGCCCCGGGCUCAACCUGGGAUGGUCAUUUAGAACUGGCAGACUAGAGUCUUGGAGAGGGGAGUGGAAUUCCAGGUGUAGCGGUGAAAUGCGUAGAUAUCUGGAGGAACAUCAGUGGCGAAGGCGACUCCCUGGCCAAAGACUGACGCUCAUGUGCGAAA
RNAcentral lists this ribosomal RNA (232 nucleotides) under unidentified marine eubacterium. RNAcentral's name for it is "partial 16S ribosomal RNA". It matches the Rfam family "Bacterial small subunit ribosomal RNA", at positions 527 to 758 of the family's 1533-position model. The record is from RNAcentral.